Molecule: long non-coding RNA, 309 nt
Filed under: Mus musculus (house mouse)
Lineage: Eukaryota; Metazoa; Chordata; Mammalia; Rodentia; Muridae
Description: predicted gene 9944 (ENSMUSG00000095213.3)
Source: RNAcentral
AUGGCUCCCCACAUUGUACAUCGUGGCCUGAAAAGAAAACUUUUGGUUGUAAUCUAUAGCCUGUUGCCCAGAAAUGAAGUUCUUUUCUUUCCUAUUAUGCAUAUAAUGGGAGACACCAAGCCUGUCAACUUACUUGAGUCAUUUCCCAUACACAGAUGUCAGCUUCUAUGUGACCAGAAUCAGGAAGAAAACAUCAAGUAUUUUUGUCUGUGGAUACUCUGCUUUCUUGAUUAUAGUUCUUUUUCAAGACUGAAUAGGUUUGGCCAGCAUAGAAACCCCCUUGGAUACACUACUAAAGUGGCCAGCUGA